Ictidomys tridecemlineatus (thirteen-lined ground squirrel) is the source of this 274-nucleotide non-coding RNA. The record is from RefSeq and is a predicted model, not a curated record. Lineage: Eukaryota; Metazoa; Chordata; Mammalia; Rodentia; Sciuridae.
GGCAAGCGCACUACCGCUUGAGCCACAUCCCCAGCCCCAAACACUCUCCUUCUUGAGGAAUGUACCAGAGUCUGGGAACUUGCCAGAGCCCAUACAGAUGAAACUCACCGAGGAACACUAAUCACUUGAAAAGGACAAGGAUGAAGGAAUUUGCUUUAAAGUAUUGGAAAUGGUGUUUUACAUCACUGGAACAUAGGUGAGUUACUUGCAUUUUCUGGAGAGGUAAGAAUUUCUGAAGUCCUCCUCUGUUUACUCUUUUAUUGGGCCCAGGGUG